Molecule: ribosomal RNA, 257 nt
Filed under: uncultured bacterium
Lineage: Bacteria
Description: partial 16S ribosomal RNA
Rfam family: Bacterial small subunit ribosomal RNA
Source: RNAcentral
UACAGAGACCUCAAGCGUUAUCCGGAAUCAUUGGGCGUAAAGCGUUCCGAUAGGUUGUUUUGAAAGUCUUGGGUAAAAGCCAGAAGCUUAACUUCUGCGUUUGCUUAAGAUACUGCAAAACUAGAGGGGCAAAGAGGUGCUUGGAACGAAUGGUGUAGUAGUGAAAUGCGUUGAUAUCAUUCGGAACACCGAAAGCGAAGGCAGAGCACUGGGUGCCACCUGACACUGCUAGGACGAAAGCGUGGGGAGCGAAUGGG